Molecule: long non-coding RNA, 285 nt
Organism: Hippocampus zosterae (dwarf seahorse)
Lineage: Eukaryota; Metazoa; Chordata; Actinopteri; Syngnathiformes; Syngnathidae
Exons: 2
Source: RefSeq, a predicted model, not a curated record
CCCGAAGGAAAGUCGAGUGACUGACCACGUCCAAGUCGGCCUCCUUCUUGAAGGUGCGGUAGGCGCCGUCGCAUCCGCUGGAGCGCAGAUAGUCGGCGACGGCUCGGUUUCUGCUCAUGAAUGUGGGCGCUCGCGUCCUCUUCAAGUGGUGAAAAGGCGCACUUGGGCGGCGCCGUUGUUCUCGCGCACGCCGACGGGAAGCCGCGCGUCGGGACUAUGCCCGUUUUCACCAAAGACUUGCUUGAAGAACCGCGCGUUUGCGUUUUUUUCUGUUUUAGAGGAGUA